Molecule: small RNA, 200 nt
Filed under: Tardiphaga robiniae
Lineage: Bacteria; Pseudomonadati; Pseudomonadota; Alphaproteobacteria; Hyphomicrobiales; Nitrobacteraceae
Description: Rhodopseudomonas sp. R-45977 Bradyrhizobiaceae sRNA BjrC174
Rfam family: Bradyrhizobiaceae sRNA BjrC174
Source: Rfam by way of RNAcentral
GUCACGGGAACGUCAGGUGAAUCUUAUUGCCGCCAAAUUUUGGCCCAUCGGACGCCCUUCUGGAUUGCGACAAGAAGAUACUGCGUCGGGUCCGGUUCUUCCGGUCUCGGAUUCCUCAGCCCCCAGCCCCCCGCGGUCGUUGGGAUCGGACCCUGCGCAGGAAGUUAAUCCCCACUGGGCCAACGCAAGUUGGUCCUUUU